This 644-nucleotide long non-coding RNA is filed under the name Mytilus galloprovincialis (Mediterranean mussel). The record is from RNAcentral. Lineage: Eukaryota; Metazoa; Mollusca; Bivalvia; Mytilida; Mytilidae.
GUUGUCCUGAAGUGGUUUUGCUUUAGAUCCAGCUCUUCGACAGUUACUUUAGCCUUUUUUUUUUUUUUUUAAAUAUUCUGGCUUUAUGUCAUAUUUAUUGUCAGAAUUGCAUCUUGUGUGGUCUAUAAGGUUUAUGUUUUUAAUACUUAUUAAUACUUCUAUUUGACAAUACCAUAUUACAUGUAUUUAUAUCUUGCUUGAGUCAAAUCAGAACAUAUUGAACAUUGGAACUCGGUAUAUUACUUUUGAGAAGAUGGGUGGAUGGAUUGAUGUUAUGUGAUCCAGUGGCAAGUUAAGUGCAGGAAGAGGACAUGAUACUCAGAUAUAAAUACAAUGUAAUUAACAUAUUUUGUACAGAACUAGACCAAUAAUGCACUGAGCUCCUUUUUAACAUGCUAGUUCACCACAAGGAGAGAAUCUGCUAUAAGACAUGUCCCCCUACAUGAACAGGUACCUUCAGACUGAACAGUGUAUGUUUUUCUCCUUUUACUGUGAGCUGAGCGAAUAUUCAGAAUACGACCACUUUUUUUAGUCUAACUUCUCAUAAAUAAAUUUCCAAUCAUAUGCUCAUUGUAAGAUUUUUAAUGGUUAAAUACAUUUAUUGACAGAUUUCUUUUUUUUUGUAUACAUUAAUCAUGCUGCAA